This 1352-nucleotide ribosomal RNA is filed under the name uncultured bacterium. RNAcentral's name for it is "bacterial SSU rRNA". It matches the Rfam family "Bacterial small subunit ribosomal RNA", at positions 28 to 1381 of the family's 1533-position model. The record is from RNAcentral.
GACGAACGUUGGCGGCGUGCUUAACACAUGCAAGUCGAACGGAAAGGCCCUGCUUUUGUGGGGUGCUCGAGUGGCGAACGGGUGAGUAACACGUGAGUAACCUGCCCUUGACUUUGGGAUAACUUCAGGAAACUGGGGCUAAUACCGGAUAGGAGCUCCUGCUGCAUGGUGGGGGUUGGAAAGUUUCGGCGGUUGGGGAUGGACUCGCGGCUUAUCAGCUUGUUGGUGGGGUAGUGGCUUACCAAGGCUUUGACGGGUAGCCGGCCUGAGAGGGUGACCGGCCACAUUGGGACUGAGAUACGGCCCAGACUCCUACGGGAGGCAGCAGUGGGGGAUAUUGCACAAUGGGCGGAAGCCUGAUGCAGCAACGGCGCGUGCGGGAAUGACCGGCCUCCGGGGUGUAAAACCGGCUUCGCCCUGUGACCGAAGCGUGAGUGACGUAAAUGGGUAAAGAAGCACGGGCUAACUACGUGCCAGCAGCCGCGGUGAUACGUAGGGUGCGAGCGUUGUCCGGAUUUAUUGGGCGUAAAGGGCUCGUAGGUGGUUGAUCGCGUCGGAAGUGUAUUCUUGGGGGCUUAACCCUGAGCGUGCUUUCGAUACGGGUUGACUGNAGGAAGGUAGGGGAGAAUGGAAUUCCUGGUGGAGCGGUGGAAUGCGCAGAUAUCAGGAGGAACACCAGUGGCGAAGGCGGUUCUCUGGGCCUUUCCUGACGCUGAGGAGCGAAAGCGUGGGGAGCGAACAGGCUUAGAUACCCUGGUAGUCCACGCUGUAAACGGUGGGUACUAGGUGUGGGGUCCAUUCCACGGGUUCCGUGCCGUAGCUAACGCUUUAAGUACCCCGCCUGGGGAGUACGGCUGCAAGGCUAAAACUCAAAGGAAUUGACGGGGCCCCGCACAAGCGGCGGAGCAUGCGGAUUAAUUCGAUGCAACGCGUAGAACCUUACCUGGGUUUGACAUGGAUCGGGAGUGCUCAGAGAUGGGUGUGCCUCUUUUGGGGUCGGUUCACAGGUGGUGCAUGGCUGUCGUCAGCUCGUGUCGUGAGAUGUUGGGUUAAGUCCCGCAACGAGCGCAACCCUUGUUCACUGUUGCCAGCACGUUAUGGUGGGGACUCAGUGGAGACCGCCGGGGUCAACUCGGAGGAAGGUGGGGAUGACGUCAAGUCAUCAUGCCCCUUAUGUCCAGGGCUUCACGCAUGCUACAAUGGCUGGUACAGAGAGUGGCGAGCCUGUGAGGGUGAGCGAAUCUCGGAAAGCCGGUCUCAGUUCGGAUUGGGGUCUGCAACUCGACCUCAUGAAGUCGGAGUCGCUAGUAAUCGCAGAUCAGCAACGCUGCGGUGAAUACGUUCCCGGGGCU